This 250-nucleotide ribosomal RNA is filed under the name uncultured bacterium. RNAcentral describes it as "partial 16S ribosomal RNA". It matches the Rfam family "Bacterial small subunit ribosomal RNA", at positions 524 to 773 of the family's 1533-position model. The record is from RNAcentral.
UACGUAGGUGGCAAGCGUUGUCCGGAUUUACUGGGCGUAAAGCGUAUGUAGGCGGAUGCUUAAGUAGGAAGUGAAAGGUUAGAGCUCAACUCUAACACUGCUCCCUAUACUGGGCGUCUUGAGGGUCGGAGAGGAAAGCGGAACGACACGUGUAGCGGUGAAAUGCGUUGAUAUGUGUCGGAACACCAAUGGCGAAGGCAGCUUUCUGGACGAUUUCUGACGCUGAGAUACGAAAGCCGAGGUAGCGAAC